This 499-nucleotide ribosomal RNA is filed under the name uncultured Glomeromycotina. Its description in RNAcentral is "partial small subunit ribosomal RNA". It matches the Rfam family "Eukaryotic small subunit ribosomal RNA", at positions 591 to 1092 of the family's 1831-position model. Lineage: Eukaryota; Fungi; Glomeromycota. The record is from RNAcentral.
CCAAUAGCGUAUAUUAAAGUUGUUGCAGUUGAAAAGCUCGUAGUUGAAUUUCGGGAUCAAAUUGUCGGUCGUGCCUCGGUACGCACUGGUAUUAUUGGUUCCUACCUUCUGACGAACCGCGAUGUCAUUAAUUUGGUGUCGUGGGGAAUCAGGACUGUUACUUUGAAAAAAUUAGAGUGUUUAAAGCAGGCUUACGCUUGAAUACAUUAGCAUGGAAUAAUGAAAUAGGACGUUUGAUUCUAUUUUGUUGGUUUCUAGGAUUGACGUAAUGAUUAAUAGGGAUAGUUGGGGGCAUUAGUAUUCAAUUGUCAGAGGUGAAAUUCUUGGAUUUAUUGAAGACUAACUACUGCGAAAGCAUUUGCCAAGGAUGUUUUCAUUAAUCAAGAACGAAAGUUAGGGGAUCGAAGACGAUCAGAUACCGUCGUAGUCUUAACCAUAAACUAUGCCGACUAGGGAUCGGAUGAUGUUAAUUUUUUAAUGACUCAUUCGGCGCCUUACG